UACGUAGGGUGCGAGCGUUGUCCGGAAUUAUUGGGCGUAAAGGGCUCGUAGGCGGUUUGUCGCGUCGGGAGUGAAAACACCGGGCUUAACUCGGUGCUUGCUUUCGAUACGGGCAGACUUGAGGCAUGCAGGGGAGAACGGAAUUCCUGGUGUAGCGGUGAAAUGCGCAGAUAUCAGGAGGAACACCGGUGGCGAAGGCGGUUCUCUGGGCCUUACCUGACGCUGAGGAGCGAAGGCGUGGGGAGCGAACAGG
This 253-nucleotide ribosomal RNA is filed under the name uncultured bacterium. RNAcentral describes it as "partial 16S ribosomal RNA". It matches the Rfam family "Bacterial small subunit ribosomal RNA", at positions 524 to 776 of the family's 1533-position model. The record is from RNAcentral.